RNAcentral lists this ribosomal RNA (474 nucleotides) under uncultured bacterium. Its description in RNAcentral is "bacterial SSU rRNA". It matches the Rfam family "Bacterial small subunit ribosomal RNA", at positions 335 to 800 of the family's 1533-position model. The record is from RNAcentral.
ACUCCUACGGGGCAGGCAGUGGGAGGAUAUUGGACAAUGGGGGAAACCCUGAUCCAGCCAUGCCGCGUGUGUGAAGAAGGCCUUCGGGUUGUAAAGCACUUUCAGUGGGGAGGAAAGGUUGAUGGUUAAUACCCAUCAGCUGUGACGUUACCCACAGAAGAAGCACCGGCUAACUCCGUGCCAGCAGCCGCGGUAAUACGGAGGGUGCAAGCGUUAAUCGGAAUUACUGGGCGUAAAGCGUGCGCAGGCGGUCUGUUAAGCGAGAUGUGAAAGCCCCGGGCUCAACCUGGGAACUGCAUUUCGAACUGGCAGACUAGAGUCUUGUAGAGGGGGUAGAAUUCCAGGUGUAGCGGUGAAAUGCGUAGAGAUCUGGAGGAAUACCGGUGGCGAAGGCGGCCCCCUGGACAAAGACUGACGCUCAGGCACGAAAGCGUGGGGAGCAAAACAGGAUUAGAUACCCUGGUAGCUCGAUGU